UUGACUCUAAACAAGCUAGGUGGGAGCUUGAAAAGGAACGGGUCAAACGGAUCAUGGAUGCGAAGAAUGUUUGCGCGGACGCGAGGGUAAAACGGCUUAUGGAAUUUACGUGGCUAUGAAUCAGCAAAUUAUUAAGGCAAGGUAUUAAAACGGGUCAAUACUUUGACCCGCGCCAGGUACAGCAAGUAAACAUGUUUGUUUGAUAAAAUCGCGAACGGGUUAAAAUUUGGUAAAAAUGGUAAUAAGCCGAAGACUUAAAAGUCUUAAAUUUUGUUAAUUCGGAUGUUGGAUUUUGACUCCAUAUUAUGAAGGGUCAAAUUACAACCAUGUAGGAAGAAACGGUGGGUCAAACGGAUAAGCGGUUUGAAAGAUACGAAAGUUUUCGUGCCAAUAAACGGCAAAAUAGGAAAGGUGGAAUGCAGGGGCCACCGUAACUUACGGUGUCACCGUAAGUUACGGUGGAGUUGAAGGCUUUACGACAGCCCCCUACUGAUUUACGGUAGGGGCAUGUCACACCAGGGGCCACCGUAACUUACGGUGCCACCGUAAGUUACGGUGGAGGCCAGUUGGGAAAUCCAUGUUUUGAGAUCAAGAGUUUAACGUUGGGAAUUCUUUUUCCUUCCAUUAUCAUUACCGGAUUUGUUUAGAUUUAUUUCAAUCCCCGUAUGACUAAAGCAUUUCAUGUUUAUGAAAUGUAGGUUCAUUUUGGAUGCCGAGAGACGAUCAAGCUCAUCGAAGAACCGAAC
Molecule: long non-coding RNA, 746 nt
Filed under: Helianthus annuus (common sunflower)
Lineage: Eukaryota; Viridiplantae; Streptophyta; Magnoliopsida; Asterales; Asteraceae
Description: hypothetical non coding rna
Source: RNAcentral